GCUAAAGUGUCAGUCUGAGACCUCUAAAGCUCUGCACCCAGUCACCGCCACAAAGAAGCUUUAAAACUAGCAUGAAGACCAGCACUGGAUGGUGUGCAAGCCUCAGCUGUGCUGGUCUGAAAAUGGCUACUGUUUUCUGCAGAGUCUACAGAGGUGAUCCAAAAGAUAAAAAGUUGCCCUCUGGAAAAAACAGAACCAUAGUAUGUACUCUACUACAUUAUCUGCA
This 226-nucleotide long non-coding RNA is filed under the name Serinus canaria (Common canary). RNAcentral describes it as "lncRNA (ENSSCAG00000003828.1)". Lineage: Eukaryota; Metazoa; Chordata; Aves; Passeriformes; Fringillidae. The record is from RNAcentral.